This 217-nucleotide unclassified non-coding RNA is filed under the name Acanthaster planci (crown-of-thorns starfish). Its description in RNAcentral is "uncharacterized LOC110981403, transcript variant X2". The record is from RNAcentral. Lineage: Eukaryota; Metazoa; Echinodermata; Asteroidea; Valvatida; Acanthasteridae.
UAGAGGCGCACUAUUGUGAAUCGCCCGUAUUGCUCCAUUUCGGACAAUAACGCGUUCUUUAUGAAAUAAUAUUUUGAAAUAUCAUUAAAAUAUGACGUACACAACCAUCCCCGUAAAAUGCACGAUCGUUGAGCUCGUCUCAAGCCAGAGGCACAAACUUCAAGGGCACAGAGUGUCGAGGGGAUAAGAACACACCUUUACCAAGUUCCAAAGUUUG